GACGAACGCUGGCGGCGUGCCUAAUACAUGCAAGUUGAGCGCUGAAGGUUGGUACUUGUACCAACUGGAUGAGCAGCGAACGGGUGAGUAACGCGUGGGGAAUCUGCCUUUGAGCGGGGGACAACAUUUGGAAACGAAUGCUAAUACCGCAUAAAAACUUUAAACACAAGUUUUAAGUUUGAAAGAUGCAAUUGCAUCACUCAAAGAUGAUCUCGCGUUGUAUUAGCUAGUUGGUGAGGUAAAGGCCCACCAAGGCGAUGAUACAUAGCCGACCUGAGAGGGUGAUCGGCCACAUUGGGAAUGAGACACGGCCCAAAAUCCUACGGGAGGCAGCAGUAGGGAAUCUUCGGCAAUGGACGGAAGGCUGACCGAGGAACGCCGCGUGAGUGAAGAAAGUUUUCGGAUCGUAAAACUCUGUUGGUAGGGAAGAACGUUGGGGAGAGUGGAAAACGCAUCAAGUGACGGUAACUACCCAGAAAGGGACGGCUAACUACGUG
RNAcentral lists this ribosomal RNA (497 nucleotides) under uncultured bacterium. Its description in RNAcentral is "partial 16S ribosomal RNA". It matches the Rfam family "Bacterial small subunit ribosomal RNA", at positions 28 to 507 of the family's 1533-position model. The record is from RNAcentral.